UGUUAAACCAGCAUGCCCAGUAGCAGUCAGGAUAGUUCCAGAAACAAAUGAGUUUCAUUUGGUACAAAAACUGAAUCGUACCUCAUAUUUUUUGUUAGUAAACAGUUACGCUUUUAGACUCUGUAAUUUUUUCAUGUUUCUUUGAAAGUAGGUCUUGCCAAUGGAUUUUUUCUUUGAGGUUUUAGUUCAUUUCAGCCAAAUCUGUAUAGAGUGCUGUAAGCAGUUUGACUCGAUGCAGACAAUUUUAAAACCAUUGUUCUAUUUUAGCAGAACACAGACUUAAUGGGCUGGAUGCUGGUUAAAAGACAGACCUCAAAUGUUGUCGUGACUGCACUGAAACAGGGUUGUUUGUGGAACGGAUGUACAGCAAGUGCCAUCAGGUUUAACCAUAUUCAGCACUAACCUGGAGGACUCAACUGGGAAAGCUGCUCGUCAAAAACACAUUGAAAUGGAGACAAAAAGAGAUAUGAAUUACCGGGUGUGUAACGAGAUUAAUUGAAGAAAAGUCUGGAGGGAAUUUUACAGAUGUCCUAGUCAUGAGAAACUUUGCAAAAAGCUUGUGAAGCUGCCCACAGAUUUGAAGCUGUGAGAAAUCUGAAAUGCCACAGAUGACUAUGACGCUACUUAAAAUUGCUGAGGUUAAUGGACUGCAUGGUCUUCUGUCUUAUCUGCUGGAGAACUACUUUGGACUGAAUCAAGAUAUAAAAAAAAUUACCAAAUAUCAUGAAACUAAUGUCAUGGGCAUAAGAGCUGGUAGACAGCAACAGCUACAAAGAGUAGAAGUCUACGUUCAAAACAGUCUUGUCAAAAAAAGGUUUUGAACUUUAAGCCCCUUCCUUUCCUUUUCCUCUGGGAAGUGUAGAUGACAGCAUUUGAAUUUUAUCCUGGAUAUACAAAUAUGUAUGUUGUAAUAAAGUCCUGUGAACAUUUAUACA
This 935-nucleotide long non-coding RNA is filed under the name Anser brachyrhynchus (Pink-footed goose). Its description in RNAcentral is "lncRNA (ENSABRG00000020614.1)". Lineage: Eukaryota; Metazoa; Chordata; Aves; Anseriformes; Anatidae. The record is from RNAcentral.